Molecule: ribosomal RNA, 253 nt
Filed under: uncultured bacterium
Lineage: Bacteria
Description: partial 16S ribosomal RNA
Rfam family: Bacterial small subunit ribosomal RNA
Source: RNAcentral
UACGGAGGGAGCUAGCGUUGUUCGGAAUUACUGGGCGUAAAGCGCACGUAGGCGGCGAUUCAAGUCAGAGGUGAAAGCCCGGGGCUCAACCCCGGAACUGCCUUUGAAACUAGAUUGCCAGAAUCCUGGAGAGGUUAGUGGAAUUCCGAGUGUAGAGGUGAAAUUCGUAGAUAUUCGGAAGAACACCAGUGGCGAAGGCGACUAACUGGACAGGUAUUGACGCUGAGGUGCGAAAGCGUGGGGAGCAAACAGG